Molecule: transfer RNA, 69 nt
Filed under: Octopus cyanea
Lineage: Eukaryota; Metazoa; Mollusca; Cephalopoda; Octopoda; Octopodidae
Description: tRNA-Pro
Source: RNAcentral
UCAAAAAAUAGUUUAAGUUAAAAUAAUAACAUUGGAAGUUAUCGAUUAAAUUUUUUUUUAUUUUUUGAU